AUCUUAAAUUUUCAACGAUGGAUGUCUUGGCUCCCAUAUCGAUGAAGAACGCAGCUAGAAUGCGAUAUGCAGUGUGAAUUGCAGAACCACGAAUCAUCGGAUCUUUGAACGCAACUGGCGCUGAUAAACUCAGCAUACUUGCUUCAGUGUGCUCA
This 155-nucleotide ribosomal RNA is filed under the name Epispathidium amphoriforme. RNAcentral describes it as "5.8S ribosomal RNA". It matches the Rfam family "5.8S ribosomal RNA". From Rfam's summary of the family: 5.8S ribosomal RNA (5.8S rRNA) is a component of the large subunit of the eukaryotic ribosome. It is transcribed by RNA polymerase I as part of the 45S precursor that also contains 18S and 28S rRNA. The record is from RNAcentral. Lineage: Eukaryota; Ciliophora; Litostomatea; Haptorida; Spathidiidae.